Molecule: unclassified non-coding RNA, 663 nt
Filed under: Hevea brasiliensis (rubber tree)
Lineage: Eukaryota; Viridiplantae; Streptophyta; Magnoliopsida; Malpighiales; Euphorbiaceae
Source: RNAcentral
GAAUUUUAAAGUUUGGGUCAAUUGGUACAAAAUUGAGACGUGAGGAUAAAAUUGUCAAUAAGUGCAAAAGUUUGGAUUUUUUUGGCCCAUUUAGCCCGAAAUUUCUUACCACCCUCGCACUAGUACCACCCAUAUAUCCCACCAACAACCUCUGCAACUUAAAUUUAUGACGUCAGUGUCACAAUUCAUGCUACCAUGUUAUGCUAACCCAAUGCUGUUAUGUUGUGCUAAGCCCAUGCUAUUGUACCAUGCUGGUAUAAUUGUCAAGUUAGAUACAGCACUAGGUAUUGUGGUUUGCAAGUGCCUCAAGCAGCUCCACCUUAUCUCUAGCCGUGGGUAACCCUUUGCUCGCAAAUCCACCAACUCCAAGAUGGCUCUUAUACCCAUUGUAACGCAUUUGAUCCAACUAGCCCAAACAACUUUCAGGUCCAAACCACUUAGCCCAAAAUGAUUAACCCAAAUAAUUUUAUUACUUGGGGACUAGGGUAUAUAAACACUUUAACAACCCCAUUCCUCACCAAUGUGGAACAGUGCAUUAUGCCAUAACAAAAACAUUCCAAAUGGUUUAAGUGUCUAGCAAUCUGACUUUGGGAACACACAAGGAGAAACCUAAUUGGCUUGCUUAUAGAUGACCAAUACAAAUGAGAGAGAGAGAGAGAGAGA